UAGUCUCGCACAGAUGCAUAUCAAUAAGCGGAGGAAAAGGCUGCGGAACUGAACGACCGCUACCUACGCUUAGGAUGUUGACAGCAGUAUAGACUGUAGUCUCGCACAGAUGCAUAUCAAUAAGCGGAGGAAAAGAAACUAACAAGGAUUCCCCUAGUAACGGCGAGUGAAGCGGGAAGAGCUCAAAUUUGAAAUCUUAAAGGGUUUCCCUUUACGAAUUGUAGUUUAAAGAAGUGUUUUCUGUUGAGGUUUUGGUAAAAGUUCUUUGGAAUAGGACAUCAUAGAGGGUGAGAAUCCCGUAUUUGACCUUUACUUUCAACUUUGUGAUACACUUUCAAAGAGUCGGAUUGUUUGGGAAUGCAGUCCAAAAUGGGUGGUAAAUUUCAUCUAAAGCUAAAUAUUGGCGAGAGACCGAUAGCGAACAAGUACCGUGAGGGAAAGAUGAAAAGAACUUUGAAAAGAGAGUUAAACAGUACGUGAAAUUGUCAAAAGGGAAGCGUUUGACACCAGUGUUGUUUUUCUGAAAAUCAAUUAAAGAACUGUUUAUGCUAAGCUGUUUAGACUUUAUCAGCUAUCUGUUUAGUUUUGAGCUUUUCUUUAAUGCACUUUUCAGUUAACAAGUCAACAUCAAUUUCUUUUGCUGUAAAAAAGCUUGAGGAAGGUGGCUUGAGAUUCGUCUUAAGUGUUUAUAGCCUCUUGCCUAUGCAGUCGGAGAGAUUGAGGUCUGCAGCGUAGAUCCUUCGGGGCUAAAUGCAUUUGUGCUAAGUUAUAGCAUUUUAUAGACAACUUGUUGACUAUGAUUUGUCUUGUAGCUUACUCGCUUAUGUUAUUUUACCUACGCUUAGGAUGUUGACAGCAGUAUAGACUGU
RNAcentral lists this ribosomal RNA (869 nucleotides) under uncultured Neocallimastigales. RNAcentral describes it as "partial large subunit ribosomal RNA". It matches the Rfam family "Eukaryotic large subunit ribosomal RNA", at positions 1 to 634 of the family's 3401-position model. The record is from RNAcentral. Lineage: Eukaryota; Fungi; Neocallimastigomycota; Neocallimastigomycetes; Neocallimastigales.